CCAAAAUUAUAAUUGCUGCUGAUUUUGGAACUUCAGGUGGAUAUACCCACGUAAAAUCAAUUUGUGUCUCAAGGAAUCUAGUUAUGACGAAUGAAUUGAGUAUGUAAAAGUUAAAAGUAAAAGGGAAAGUUGCAAACUAUAACUCUGUGAGCACUGUUGACAUCAAAUUGAAUGAAUAGGAUAUCAGGUUCACUUGAGUGACCCAGCAGUAUUGGCGGCGGAGGUUUUGCACUCUACAGAGUGCUCCCCCUCUCGUUCAAAAAUGUAUUGGGCCAGAUAUGUUCUCGUAUAUGUGGCGGAGGUAUGCGCUCUACCGAGUGUCCUUCUGAAGACCGAAUUGCACAAUUUUCAACUCCUCCAGUCUUCUCUCGGAUCUGGAAACCAUGAGCACUCAACAUUCAGAUCCCAAAAGUCAGUUAUUCCGAAGAUCCAGCAUGAGAACAUUAUUGGUCCUGCUCUUGUUGGCGAGAGAAAGCAGCAAUGUUUGGGCAAAAGAUCUGGAGGAAUAUUCUGAAAAAAUAGGGGAAGUUGGGAGUACCAACAACACUCCCUUGCCAUGCUCCACCAGAAAAACGACAAGAUGUGGACUUUGAGUGGACGUUUGUGAACGACACAAAUGUGGUGAGAUUAAACAGGAAUUUACGAAACUACCCAACUGGGAUAAAAUGAAUAAAAUACUACAUUCAUUGAUGUUUCAUCAGUCAAACAUUGUAAACUGUUGAUGAUGUACUGUGUAAGCAGAUCUUGAUAUGAAAACAAUUGAAGAUGAAAGUGUUUUUUGUCAUCUAUUUAUUCUACAUGAUGCAAGGGAAGAUGAGUGUUGGUUAGUAUAGAGGAGAUGAUAUGAGAAGGGGGUGGGGAUGCGAGGAAGUGGGAGAGAAGAAAAGAGUUUGGAAUGGAACAGGCAUAAGAGAAGAAAAGAGCAAGUGGACAUGUAUUAAGCAUAUGUAUAUGUGGAAAGGAUGAGGGGGGGGGAGGGGGGUGGGCAGUGAGAGGGAGGUAAAAAAAUCUGAGCUAUAUCUGUGUUUGUCAUAAAACUAUACCCCUUGUAUGCAGUAAGUAUGUAAUUAUUCCUGUUUCAUACACAAGGCACUUUUCAGAUACAAUUCUCAGGGAAAUACCAGUUUAGAUUUAUAACCCACACCCCAAAAAUAAACUCCAGCUCAGGAAUGGAAAUUUAGCUAACCCAAAAGCAUUGUUUUCCUGAUCUCUGGGGAGAGCUAUUUUUGAGUGUUUAACUUCGUAUAAGGGAUGACUUCUAACGUGUAUGAAAUACAAUAUGAUGAACAACGUUGCAUAUUUGAAUGUACCUAACAACUCCUUCUGAGUGAUACGUGACAUCUAUUAGAUUAGCACAUAAAGAGUUUCUUCGUAACUCAAGUCAUUGGUGAGUC
Molecule: long non-coding RNA, 1394 nt
Filed under: Eptatretus burgeri (inshore hagfish)
Lineage: Eukaryota; Metazoa; Chordata; Myxini; Myxiniformes; Myxinidae
Description: lncRNA (ENSEBUG00000017486.1)
Source: RNAcentral